Molecule: long non-coding RNA, 822 nt
Filed under: Monodelphis domestica (gray short-tailed opossum)
Lineage: Eukaryota; Metazoa; Chordata; Mammalia; Didelphimorphia; Didelphidae
Description: lncRNA (ENSMODG00000034014.2)
Source: RNAcentral
CCUGUAUUUACUUUGAAAAAAUUUACUUUUUAAUAAGAGAUCUCUCAUGGAAUAAGAAUAAUCUAUAAUGCUUAUGUAAAAUCAAUAAAAGUUUUUUUUUCUUUUGAUUUUAAGAAAAGUAUUCUCCCUUGGGACCAAUGAUGCCAGAUAAAACAGUACUCCUACAUGAUGAUUAUUAUCCAAAGAAAUCUCUGACAAUGGCAAAGGACAACCAGCAACAAGCACAAUCAUCUGGAGGUCUCCAGCCAGCCCAGCUGAAAACAGCAGCAGCGACGGCAGCGGCGGCUGCGGCGGAGGAGGAGGAGGAGGCGGCGGCGGCGACGGCGGCAGCAGCAGCAGCAGCAGGGGCAGUAGCAGUAGAAGUAGGGGCAGCAGCUGGGGCAGCGGCGGCGGCGGCGGCAGCAGCAGCAGCAGCCAGUUCUGAACUUUCCAUAGCGCUGGGCCCCGACGAGUGGUUAGCCCAGGAAAGCCUCAAAUUAUACAAUUUAUGAAACCCAAUCCAGUUUUUAGACUCUAACGUGUGAUUACAGAGAUUAGACAUUCACUGUUGCAAUUAUGUUAAUGUUGAUGUGUGGACAGAUAACUGGCAGAAAGAGUUGUUCUGAAUCAUCUAUUUAUAGAAAAAAGAUUCUUGCUAUCUCAAGGCAAACAUAUGGGCUAUAAAGGCGGGCGACAACAACGAAAAAAAAAACAACACCCCUCCAAAUGAAAAGACACCCAGUGAAGCCAUAAUUAGGGCUGGUACCAGCUUAUGUAAAUCAGGUAAGACUUUCAAAACAGAGAUCGGAUCUGGUUUUAAUAAAGCGGAUUGAACAAAUGGCA